RNAcentral lists this unclassified non-coding RNA (267 nucleotides) under plant metagenome. RNAcentral describes it as "partial contains small subunit ribosomal RNA, internal transcribed spacer 1, and 5.8S ribosomal RNA". The record is from RNAcentral.
UUUCCGUAGGUGAACCUGCGGAAGGAUCAUUAUCGUACAACAUGUGAGGGGCAUGCGAGGGCUGUCGCUCUCCUAAAAGUGGUGCACGCGUGAGUGUGUCUUCUUGCAUAAUAAUCCGUCACACCCUUUGUGCAUCACCGCGUGGGCACCAUGCGGAAUCAUCGCGGCGGGGUACUCGCGUUUUCACACAUACCCCCCAUUUAAAAGUGUAGAAUGACCACAUUUCUGCAAUCAAUACAACUUUCAACAACGGAUCUCUUGGCUCUC